UGCUUGCACUCAAUUGGAAAGAGGAGUGGCGGACGGGUGAGUAACACGUGGGUAACCUACCCAUCAGAGGGGGAUAACACUUGGAAACAGGUGCUAAUACCGCAUAACAGUUUAUGCCGCAUGGCAUAAGAGUGAAAGGCGCUUUCGGGUGUCGCUGAUGGAUGGACCCGCGGUGCAUUAGCUAGUUGGUGAGGUAACGGCUCACCAAGGCCACGAUGCAUAGCCGACCUGAGAGGGUGAUCGGCCACACUGGGACUGAGACACGGCCCAGACUCCUACGGGAGGCAGCAGUAGGGAAUCUUCGGCAAUGGACGAAAGUCUGACCGAGCAACGCCGCGUGAGUGAAGAAGGUUUUCGGAUCGUAAAACUCUGUUGUUAGAGAAGAACAAGGACGUUAGUAACUGAACGUCCCCUGACGGUAUCUAACCAGAAAGCCACGGCUAACUACGUGCCAGCAGCCGCGGUAAUACGUAGGUGGCAAGCGUUGUCCGGAUUUAUUGGGCGUAAAGCGAGCGCAGGCGGUUUCUUAAGUCUGAUGUGAAAGCCCCCGGCUCAACCGGGGAGGGUCAUUGGAAACUGGGAGACUUGAGUGCAGAAGAGGAGAGUGGAAUUCCAUGUGUAGCGGUGAAAUGCGUAGAUAUAUGGAGGAAC
This 651-nucleotide ribosomal RNA is filed under the name Enterococcus faecalis. Its description in RNAcentral is "bacterial SSU rRNA". It matches the Rfam family "Bacterial small subunit ribosomal RNA", at positions 70 to 707 of the family's 1533-position model. The record is from RNAcentral. Lineage: Bacteria; Bacillati; Bacillota; Bacilli; Lactobacillales; Enterococcaceae. RNAcentral also lists the same sequence under 1 other name.